RNAcentral lists this ribosomal RNA (435 nucleotides) under uncultured bacterium. RNAcentral's name for it is "bacterial SSU rRNA". It matches the Rfam family "Bacterial small subunit ribosomal RNA", at positions 29 to 504 of the family's 1533-position model. The record is from RNAcentral.
AGCGAACGCUGGCCCCAGGAAAUAACACAUGCAAGUCGAGCGGGCACUUUCGGGUGUCAGCGGCGGACGGGUGAGCAACGCGUGGGAACGUGCCUUCCGGUUCGGAAUAACCCUGGGAAACUAGGGCUAAUACCGGAUACGCCCUUAUGGGGAAAGGUUUACUGCCGGAAGAUCGGCCCGCGUCUGAUUAGCUAGUUGGUGGGGUAACGGCCUACCAAGGCGACGAUCAGUAGCUGGUCUGAGAGGAUGAUCAGCCACACUGGGACUGAGACACGGCCCAGACUCCUACGGGAGGCAGCAGUGGGGAAUAUUGGACAAUGGGCGCAAGUCUGUUUUUUUUCCAUGCCGCGUGAGUGAUGAAGGCCUUAGGGUUGUAAAGCUCUUUUAUCCGGGACGAUAAUGACGGUACCGGAGGAAUAAGCCCCGGCUAACUUC